RNAcentral lists this ribosomal RNA (451 nucleotides) under uncultured bacterium. RNAcentral describes it as "bacterial SSU rRNA". It matches the Rfam family "Bacterial small subunit ribosomal RNA", at positions 354 to 796 of the family's 1533-position model. The record is from RNAcentral.
GUAGGGAAUCUUCGGCAAUGGACGCAAGUCUGACCGAGCAACGCCGCGUGAGUGAAGAAGGUUUUCGGAUCGUAAAACUCUGUUGUUAGAGAAGAACAAGGAUGAGAGUAGAACGUUCAUCCCUUGACGGUAUCUAACCAGAAAGCCACGGCUAACUACGUGCCAGCAGCCGCGGUAAUACGUAGGUGGCAAGCGUUGUCCGGAUUUAUUGGGCGUAAAGCGAGCGCAGGCGGUUUCUUAAGUCUGAUGUGAAAGCCCCCGGCUCAACCGGGGAGGGUCAUUGGAAACUGGGAAACUUGAGUGCAGAAGAGGAGAGUGGAAUUCCAUGUGUAGCGGUGAAAUGCGUAGAUAUAUGGAGGAACACCAGUGGCGAAGGCGGCUCUCUGGUCUGUAACUGACGCUGAGGCUCGAAAGCGUGGGGAGCAAACAGGAUUAGAUACCCCGGUAGUCC